CUAAUCCCACUGUUCUGCUGCUGAUGCACCUGGGUGUGAUGAGGAGGACUCCCAUAGCCUCUGUGAAUUUGGCUACAUCCCAACAGGAUUGGUGCUGAUUCCAGUCACACUCAACAUUUUGCAGCCUAGGAAACCUGUAUUGACCACAGCUGCCCUAUCACAGAGGAAACUGCUGGGAAGAACGAUCGAAUUCACUCAGCUGGAUUCAACCCCUCUUCCAUCUUUUGACAGCUGAUGUAAAAUCAGGAACAUCUCUACUGAAGGCAAGUCAGUUAUGCUGUGUCAAAGAAGUGAAGGUAGGAAAAAAUGAUUAAUUCCUACUCUAGUCUUGUUUGAUUAAAGCA
RNAcentral lists this long non-coding RNA (344 nucleotides) under Zonotrichia albicollis (white-throated sparrow). RNAcentral's name for it is "lncRNA (ENSZALG00000008423.1)". The record is from RNAcentral. Lineage: Eukaryota; Metazoa; Chordata; Aves; Passeriformes; Passerellidae.